CGGGCGGUGCGGACCAGGCGCGGGCCAUGUGGCUGCAGCCCGCGUCCCGGAGUAGCAGCAGAAGCAGCGGCAGCAGCGGCAGCAGUUGGGGCCCGGGUCCCCGGGCGGUCUGAGCGGGGUCACGAGCCAUGGCGCGGAAGGCUGAGGGUCACAGAGGUGAAGUCAUUUGCCCAUGUCGACAAAGCUGGUUAUGACAGAGUUUGGAUGGGAAUGCGGAGCUUCUUGACUCAAACGCCCAGGCUUUGUCUACUGCUUCAGACUCUGGACCAGUGCUGUGCAAGAGAAAUAAAAGGCGAGCCACAAAUAUGAGCCAAAUGUGUCAUAUUUUCUCAGAGCCACAUCAAAGAAAAGAAAACCAGUUCACUUACUGAUGAUCACUUUGAGGACAGGAAAUGGUGGGGCACACUUACAAUCUAAGAAGAUAUUUUCCCAGAAGAGUCCGCGUUUCCUAAGUUUCUGAGAACAGCAAUUGGAGCGUUUUAAAAGUUCUCCUUAGUUCAUUGCAUCAUCUAGGCACUCGGUGCCUCCUCUGUCUGCCCUUCAGUCUUCAUGGCCGCAUGCUGACUGGCUCGUCUGCCUGAUGUACUCCUGUUUGAAAACUGGGCUGGUUCUUCCAGAUGGCUGCUUCAGUGAUUUAGUUCCUGCAGUUCUCUUCUCUAGGAAGCUUAUGCCCGGUUGAGCUGAUGGCUUGGAGCUCUGGGUACCUGGGCUUAUCUGUGAAAGCCCCAGCUAGGAUGCAUGAUGGACAGCUGGUCUUGAGGCAGAAGACAUGGCUGUAAAUCAAUAGUUGGUGUCAGAAGGCAGGACCCUUCAUGUUCACCUGCAUCUCCUCCAGCCCCUCUGGCUGACCCGGACUCUGCCUGACUUCAAGGAGGAGACCCCUUUUCCUGUAUCCAUUUAUUUAGAGGAGCUGACAAAUGGCUUCCUCUGAGCUCCCACUUUCUGCUGGGAUUUUCCAUUCCAUCCUCUGGCCUGUGCCAGUAAUAACAUUUUAUACUUGUCUGACACCUUUUCUCCUCUGAGCUCCAAGCACUUUACAAGCAAGCAGUUACACUAUUGCCCUCUGAAUUCUGAUGGGAAAGCUGAGAGUCAUGGGAUCAAAGCUACCAUGAUUGGGCAGUGAAGACAAGACUCCCAGACACCAGGCCAACCCUUGGCCCUUGGCAGGACCAGAGAGAGCACCCCUACUGCUGAGGAGGGGCAGGCCAGAGGAGGGCUUUCAGCAUGGGCUCCCCAGAGGCUUCCCGGAGCCUCUUACCCUGUUGUGAAGUGAUGCAUUGUCCUUUACUGCAGAAGAGAAUGGGGCCCCUGGGAUGCUUCCUUGGCAGGAAAGGUGAUCUGAUGGCUUGUGGUUUUUCUGGGAAUGAGAAGACUCAUGGAAUCUUUAGUGUCCUCAUCUUGUCUUGAGGAAGAGGAAGCAGAUCUGUAUUGCAUGGCCCAGGCAGCGGAAUAAGGUUCAGUUGCUACAGGUCUUUACCAGUCUAGUCCUUGCUGGCACUGAGAGCUGCUCAAAGGGGAGUUUGUUUGCAUCCCUGGUUGGGUCCCAAGGGAAGUGUCUCUAGUCGAUGCUGGGGAGAUGUCCUGCAUCACACGAGGCUAGGGAAGGGUGACACAUAAGUCCUCUUCCAACCCAGAUUUUGCAUUAUAAGGAUGGACUCUAGCACUAUCUCCUCUGGGUGGUGGAGGCUUUGGGCUGAGACCCUGAAACCCUGGGGCACGUCACCUCUUGCAGGAUCUGCAAAGCUCCUUAGUUCCCAUCUUCUCCUUCUUUUAUUUAGCAAAACUUGGUUUGAGGUCUGCAUUUUCCAUCUCCUGUAUGAAGCUUUGCUCAGAAGCAGCUCACUGUUUAACUAGAAAGAACAUCUGUGACCAUGAAAUUUUCAGCAACCAAAAAAUGCCCUGCUAAGUUAUAUUUGCUAAGCUACUGUCGGGAGUCAGCAGAAAGACAGAGAGAGAGAGAGAGAGAGAGAGAGAGAGAGAGAGAGAGAGAGAGAGAGAGAAAGAGUCUGUGUGAAUUCAGCUGCCCUCACUCAGGUGGCUGGAAACUGGCCCUCCUUUAUCUGUGAACACUGCAAACUGGGGAAGAAUUCAUGGAACUGUGAGUAUGGAGAGAUACCUGGCCAGAAAGAAACUGAGAAUCAGUCAUUCCUACCUCAGGGACCACAGAAGGAGGCAGACAGCUGGAAGGAUGAUGGGGUGUGUGUGUGUGUGUGUGAAUUAGGGAAGGGGAGGGGAUGACAUUUUCUGAACAGAUAGAAUUCUGAGCACAUCUCUCUGUGUUAAUGCUCACAUGGAACCUUUCAAAGCUUGGAGAAUGAGUAUUAUAAUUUUAUUUUCCCAGUGAGGGAUUAGAGGUCAAAUAAGCUGCCCACAGCCCCAGCACCAGCCAGAGCAGAACCGGGAUUUGAACCCAGUUAGUUGUCUUUGGCUCUGAUGCCCUUUCUCUUCUGUAUCCCUGCCUGCCUUCAAUGCAGGUGCCACAAAUGAAGUCCCACAGACCUCGUCUGACCGGCUCUGAGUCUUCCGGCUAGUCUGGCUGUCUGAGGCCCCAAGUGCUCUUUCUCAAGGGCUGGCUGCCUUGCAAGUCCCCAGAAGCCUCCGUGUCCACCCCUAUGUCUCCCCAAAUGCUCUAGAGAGCUCUGGGCCAAGGCCCAGGCCCAGCAGGGCAGCCCUUGUGCAGCUCUGUGGUUUGCGAUCUGGCCAUGCAUAGCUGGCUCUGAGCAAGAACUUAUCAUUCUUCCACGACCACCCAGUCAGCUCAACACUGCCUGGACGUGCAGCUCUAGCUGCCCAGGUUGGUGGCAGCUCAGCCCUCACUGGGCUCUGCUGCUCCCACUUGCUGUCUGCCACCCCCGCUGCAGCCAGCCCCGCCUGCCCAGCUGAGUGAGUGGUCGCUGGAGCCCAGAAACAGCAGGGUCUGAGCAUCCCCAACAAACCACAAAGAGGAUUUCACAAAUCAAAAGGACCAGAGAGAACAAAGCUGUCACAUCAGUCCAUCAUGGAGCCGGAUCUCAAAAUACCACCGGGCCAGAGUCCUGCCAGCUGUGAGUCACCACCCGGCCAGAGCAGCCACAGCAGGCCCCUGGCCGCAUGGAAAAACACCUCGGCGGCCAGCUGGCUGCUCUCUGCCCAGAUCUGGGAGGCACAGGGUGUCUGUGGGGUGGUUCCACACCUCCAUGCUGCAGUGUGGAGAGGAGUCCACCCGGUUUGCUGGCUGUAGGAGCAGGAGGGAGGGGACAAAGGAACGGCCAUAUCGACAAUGGAUUGGUGAGUGAGGACACUGUCCAGGCCUGUUUCAUCCCUCCAGUCCUGUUCCAAGCCUCUGGGAUAACCAGCAGCGUGAUGUCACCCUUUUUAUGCCUCCCUGUGGCCCUAUGCUGCUGGCCCACCUCUUCCCAGGUGACGAGGAGUUGGGUUCAGGUGCCUAAGUGAAUCCAGCAGCUCAUGGCACCAAUGGCAAUGGCAAUGCACAGACCAAGAGCCAACACUUGGUGUGCAGAGUCCCUCUUCAUGCACUGCUCCAGCUCCUACCCCAAGCCCUAUCAUGACACAUGGUGGGGAGGGACCUGGGGGCACACACACAGGGAUCAUGUCCUUUCAUAGGAGUUUAGGCAUUCUUCUGCAUUACUUCUCUUUCAUUCACCAUCCUGAGACCUCUCUCCUUCCAAAUAGCAUCCUUUGUUGCUCCUGGCUUUGAGGCCACGGCACAUGUGUCAAUAAAGAUGAAAUGGCCUGGAUGACAAAACACAAAGCGCUGAUCUUAUUUUUGUUGCCAGCCCAUUUCUUCCUUUGGUACCUCAUUUUCCUCAUUGUCAAUAUGAAGAGUGAGACAAGAUCUUACAGAGAUCUGGGGUGCCACCUGCCACCGCUCCCUGAGCUGGAGCCAUAGCAAAUUCUAAAGGGCUUUAUCUUUAGUGAACUGAACAUUAAUGAGGAGAAUAUGUUUUAUUCAGAUGAGGAGGCAACAAGGGCUCAAUUUAAGAGAAUAUAAGAUGUCAGUCCCAGCCCCUUCCCCUCUCUGAGUGCCCCCUUGCUGUCUUGUCGUUGGCGCUUUCCUCUAAAUCCUGGCCUUUCAGGCUAUGGACCCAUCAGAGCUGAGUGCUGGGGCACUGAUUUGAGGUUUCACUCACCACCUUGCCCUGCAGAAAUGCCCAGAACCUGCCCUGAACUUUUUUGCUUGCAGCCAGAGUCUCCUGCCCUCAGCUUGGAAUUGACCAGGUGGAGGCAUGAGUUAUAAUGCCCCUUUCCCCCUCUAUUCUGCUGUCCAUCCCUAUGCAGCCCCUCUCCAUGCUGCCCAUGGCCUCUGCUUGGCUGUUCUGGGCUGCUGUGUGAUCAAGCUUUCCUUCUCAGAGGCCAUGAUGCUGAAGGCGUGGAGAGAACCUGGAGUGGCAGAGUCCUGGCCACUGUGCAGUGACUUCUGCAGACCUGGGCCAGGAGGCCCUUAGGAGAGUGGGCAUGGGCUUCAGGCAGCGGGAUGAAGGCUAUUGAGCAGCAGCUCUGCAGAACAAGCAUAAGUGGUGACAUCCUCCCUGUCCCAGAUGCCACAGAGCACAGGGGUGUGCCCAUAUAUGUAUGUUCCUAGGUGAGGUGAAAGAAAAGCACUGGCCACCUGCCACCUACCAACCAUCACUAAGCUGAAGCCAUAACAAAUUCCUGAGUACCUAGUGUGCCUCUACCCAGCUGUCAAAGUCUCUGAGAGCUCAGAUACACCCGAGUCCGUUUGCAAGUUCAUAGGAAGGGGCAUGAAUCUUUGCUCUCUGUUGUUACCUGCCCUCCAAGGAAUCACUAACUGAAGCUAGAGAUUUGCCUCUUAAGAUUCCCCACUCUCUUCCCCUUUGGGUCCCCCCACCACUUACUUUAUUUAGUUAUUGUAUUCAGUAAAUACCUUUGAGGGAUCUGGAACUUUCCAUUUGGCAUAUAGAAACCGUGCAUUAGUUUGUAGCUACCCAAUUUGGGGGAUCCUGAGCGUCAGAGAUAAAUGUGUUCCUGUAAUUAACUUAAAAGUACCUGCUUCCCCUUGUAAGCAUAACCUAAAAAUUAUGUUUUAAAAAAUUAAAAUGAAAUUCACAUAACAUACAAUCAGCCGUUUUGAAGUGCACAAUUCAGUAAUAUUUAAUGUGUUCUCAAUACUGUGCAACUCCCAGCUGUCUAGUUUCAAAAAUUCUUCCUCACUCUACAAAAACACCUAUAUUUACUAAGUAAUCACUCCCCAUCCCACCUGCUGUCAUGCCCUUGUAACCUCUAAUCUGCUUCCCAUCUCUGUGGAUUUGCUUAUUCUAGAUAUAUCAUAUAAAAUAAACACAACAUGUGACUUUUUGUGUCUGAUAUCUUUCAGCA
Molecule: long non-coding RNA, 5337 nt
Organism: Callithrix jacchus (white-tufted-ear marmoset)
Lineage: Eukaryota; Metazoa; Chordata; Mammalia; Primates; Cebidae
Source: RefSeq, a predicted model, not a curated record